RNAcentral lists this ribosomal RNA (119 nucleotides) under Pteropus alecto (black flying fox). Lineage: Eukaryota; Metazoa; Chordata; Mammalia; Chiroptera; Pteropodidae. The record is from RNAcentral.
GUCUACGGCCACUCCACCCUGAACGUGCGGGAUCUUGUUUGAUCUCGGAAGCUAAGCAGGGUCAGGCCUGGUUAGUACUUGGAUGGGAGACCAUCUAGGAAAAUCAGGUGCCGUGGGCG